UGGCUCAUUGAACCUUUUCGCGGUUCGAGCCGGUGAACCCGAAAAUGAAAGCCGCUUCUUGGCUGACCCAGCCAUCGAACCCUUUUCUGACGAACCUUUCCUUCCCGACCCUAACGGGCUUGGACUAUGAACAGGACUAGCCAUUCGGGACCUAGCCUUAGCCGACAUUGUUGAAGCCAUGUAACUAGGAACCGCAGGAGACGAGUCAAGGCUCUCGUUAUCACACACCGAACUAGCCCGGCUCUGUCGUCUGUUACGGUCUGAUUGCACGCUGUAGAAGCUUGUGGAGUCGCCAUCCACGCUUCCCCUUGGGGUUUCGGGCCUGACCCGCGAACUUGAUGAUGGAGCCCUGGAGGGCGGUGUUGAGGGUGAUUGGCGACUAGGCGGGCGGCUGACCCGUUUACCCAUUUCUGAUCCGACCGAUGGUUCUUUUGCGGGUAUGAUUUGAGUUUCCCAGGGCUUGGCGGCCAUCCAACGUUCUAGCCAACUCCACCCCCAGUGAGGAUUGUUCGGGUCCAGAAAAGUUGGAUCUGGAUACUUUGUAGAGUUCUUCCACAUUUGCUUGCCUGAUGAGUAUGUGCAUAUGCCAAUGCUCUUUCUCUACGUAUAGCAGCCUCUUGUUUGCUUUGUAAACUAGCUUCAGUUUCUUCUUUAGAUUUUCUACUGUCAUCCCAUGUGUUUCCUAACUAGGAUCUAAUGUUGUUGAGCUCUUUCUCAUGUUUCAAAAGAAGUUGUUGUUGGAGAGCUCGGUUCUCCUCAGACAUAAGAAUGCGCCUGGAACGAACCUGAGACUGUACACGAGCCAAUGUUUGCAUACAUU
RNAcentral lists this long non-coding RNA (820 nucleotides) under Helianthus annuus (common sunflower). Its description in RNAcentral is "sRNA HanXRQr2_Chr14g0663391". The record is from RNAcentral. Lineage: Eukaryota; Viridiplantae; Streptophyta; Magnoliopsida; Asterales; Asteraceae.